GCAAUGGACGAAAGUCUGACCGAGCAACGCCGCGUGAGUGAAGAAGGUUUUCGGAUCGUAAAGCUCUGUUGUAAGUCAAGAACGUGUGUGAGAGUGGAAAGUUCACACAGUGACGGUAGCUUACCAGAAAGGGACGGCUAACUACGUGCCAGCAGCCGCGGUAAUACGUAGGUCCCGAGCGUUGUCCGGAUUUAUUGGGCGUAAAGGGAGCGCAGGCGGUCAGGAAAGUCUGGAGUAAAAGGCUAUGGCUCAACCAUAGUGUGCUCUGGAAACUGUCUGACUUGAGUGCAGAAGGGGAGAGUGGAAUUCCAUGUGUAGCGGUGAAAUGCGUAGAUAUAUGGAGGAACACCAGUGGCGAAAGCGGCUCUCUGGUCUGUCACUGACGCUGAGGCUCGAAAGCGUGGGUAGCGAACAGGAUUAGAUACCCUGGUAGUCCACGCCGUAAACGAUGAGUGCUAGGUGUUAGGCCCUUUCCGGGGCUUAGUGCCGGAGCUAACGCAAUAAGCACUCCGCCUGGGGAGUACGACCGCAAGGUUGAAACUCAAAGGAAUUGACGGGAGCCCGCACAAGCGGUGGAGCAUGUGGUUUAAUUCGAAGCA
RNAcentral lists this ribosomal RNA (599 nucleotides) under Streptococcus mutans. RNAcentral describes it as "bacterial SSU rRNA". It matches the Rfam family "Bacterial small subunit ribosomal RNA", at positions 368 to 958 of the family's 1533-position model. The record is from RNAcentral. Lineage: Bacteria; Bacillati; Bacillota; Bacilli; Lactobacillales; Streptococcaceae.